Molecule: unclassified non-coding RNA, 219 nt
Filed under: uncultured Pyronemataceae
Lineage: Eukaryota; Fungi; Ascomycota; Pezizomycetes; Pezizales; Pyronemataceae
Description: sequence contains ITS1
Source: RNAcentral
CGAAAUACGUGGGCACCAAUGUGCCCCGGCUUAUCGUCUGUAUUCAUUCCGAGUACUUUUCCCGUUGCUUCCGUGGGGUAUGGCGAUUUGCGCACGUCGCAUUUCCCUUCCUGGGAUGUUUGCAAAAAUUUCCCAGGAGAGACCCUGUGGGAGGGAAGCACUGAACCUCCUUUGCAUACCGAUAGCGUUCAGUCUGAGCUUGUUUUUGAAGAAACAUUA